RNAcentral lists this ribosomal RNA (438 nucleotides) under Erwinia sp. AE_152. Its description in RNAcentral is "bacterial SSU rRNA". It matches the Rfam family "Bacterial small subunit ribosomal RNA", at positions 20 to 456 of the family's 1533-position model. The record is from RNAcentral. Lineage: Bacteria; Pseudomonadati; Pseudomonadota; Gammaproteobacteria; Enterobacterales; Erwiniaceae.
UGGCUCAGAUUGAACGCUGGCGGCAGGCCUAACACAUGCAAGUCGAACGGUAGCACAGAGAGCUUGCUCUCGGGUGACGAGUGGCGGACGGGUGAGUAAUGUCUGGGAAACUGCCCGAUGGAGGGGGAUAACUACUGGAAACGGUAGCUAAUACCGCAUAACGUCUUCGGACCAAAGUGGGGGACCUUCGGGCCUCACACCAUCGGAUGUGCCCAGAUGGGAUUAGCUAGUAGGUGGGGUAAUGGCUCACCUAGGCGACGAUCCCUAGCUGGUCUGAGAGGAUGACCAGCCACACUGGAACUGAGACACGGUCCAGACUCCUACGGGAGGCAGCAGUGGGGAAUAUUGCACAAUGGGCGCAAGCCUGAUGCAGCCAUGCCGCGUGUAUGAAGAAGGCCUUCGGGUUGUAAAGUACUUUCAGCGGGGAGGAAGGCGAUG